UACAGAGGGGGCAAGCGUUGUUCGGAAUUACUGGGCGUAAAGGGCGCGUAGGCGGCCCGCUAAGUCGAACGUGAAAUCCCCGAGCUCAACUCGGGAACUGCGUCCGAUACUGGCGGGCUUGAAUCCGGGAGAGGGAUGCGGAAUUCCAGGUGUAGCGGUGAAAUGCGUAGAUAUCUGGAGGAACAUCGGUGGCGAAGGCGGCAUCCUGGACCGGUAUUGACGCUGAGGCGCGAAAGCCAGGGGAGCAAACGGG
This 253-nucleotide ribosomal RNA is filed under the name uncultured bacterium. RNAcentral describes it as "partial 16S ribosomal RNA". It matches the Rfam family "Bacterial small subunit ribosomal RNA", at positions 524 to 776 of the family's 1533-position model. The record is from RNAcentral.